CUACGGGGUGCUGCAGUGGGGAAUAUUGCGCAAUGGGCGAAAGCCUGACGCAGCCACGCCGCGUGCAGGAAGACACCCCUAUGGGGCGUAAACUGCUUUUAUAUGGGAAGAAGGUCCCGCUCGGCGGGCAUUGACGGUACCAUAGGAAUAAGCACCGGCUAACUCCGUGCCAGCAGCCGCGGUAAUACGGAGGGUGCAAGCGUUGUCCGGAUUCACUGGGUGUAAAGGGUGUGUAGGCGGGCCUGUAAGUCAGAGGUGAAAGCCCACAGCUUAACUGUGGAACUGCCUUUGAUACUGCAGAUCUUGAGUCUCGGAGAGGUCAUUAGAAUUCGUGGUGUAGCGGUGAAAUGCGUAGAUAUCACGAGGAAUACCAGAGGCGUAGGCGGAUGACUGGACGAGUACUGACGCUGAGGCACGAAAGCGUGGGGAGCAAACAGGAUUAGAUACCCCUGUAGUC
RNAcentral lists this ribosomal RNA (457 nucleotides) under uncultured bacterium. RNAcentral describes it as "partial 16S ribosomal RNA". It matches the Rfam family "Bacterial small subunit ribosomal RNA", at positions 339 to 795 of the family's 1533-position model. The record is from RNAcentral.